CAAAAUGCUCUAAAGUAAAGUAAUUAUAACAAUGCAUAUCCGUUGUGAUUAAAAAGAGAAUUCAUGAGUGUGUGAAAAAGUGAAUAAUGGGUAGGUGUGAAAGCUUAGGUUAAUUAAAGAUUCAAUUUAUAAAGCU
This is a non-coding RNA of Arachis ipaensis, 136 nucleotides long. The record is from RefSeq and is a predicted model, not a curated record. NCBI's taxonomy places the organism in Eukaryota, Viridiplantae, Streptophyta, Magnoliopsida, Fabales, Fabaceae.